GGUAAAGUGGCUGAGAUAGGCGGUAAAUUGUAAAUUUACUUAGGAGAUUAAUCUCCUUUACCA
RNAcentral lists this transfer RNA (63 nucleotides) under Polionemobius taprobanensis. Its description in RNAcentral is "tRNA-Tyr". Lineage: Eukaryota; Metazoa; Arthropoda; Insecta; Orthoptera; Trigonidiidae. The record is from RNAcentral.